Molecule: ribosomal RNA, 253 nt
Filed under: uncultured bacterium
Lineage: Bacteria
Description: partial 16S ribosomal RNA
Rfam family: Bacterial small subunit ribosomal RNA
Source: RNAcentral
UACAGAGGGUGCGAGCGUUAAUCGGAAUUACUGGGCGUAAAGCGUGCGUAGACGGUUAUUUAAGUCGGAUGUGAAAGCCCCGGGCUCAACCUGGGAAUUGCAUUCGAGACUGAAUAGCUAGGGUACGGUAGAGGGAAGCGGAAUUUCCGGUGUAGCGGUGAAAUGCGUAGAUAUCGGAAGGAACAUCAGUGGCGAAAGCGGCUUCCUGGACCAGCACCGACGUUCAGGCACGAAAGCGUGGGGAGCAAACAGG